CCGAGUGUAGCUUAUUUAAAGCCUUUUAUUUACACUAAAAAGAUCUUAGUAUCUAGGUAUUUGGA
Molecule: transfer RNA, 65 nt
Filed under: Lipothrix lubbocki
Lineage: Eukaryota; Metazoa; Arthropoda; Collembola; Symphypleona; Sminthuridae
Description: tRNA-Val
Source: RNAcentral